Molecule: ribosomal RNA, 301 nt
Filed under: uncultured bacterium
Lineage: Bacteria
Description: partial 16S ribosomal RNA
Rfam family: Bacterial small subunit ribosomal RNA
Source: RNAcentral
CAGCCGCCGCGGGAAUACGUAGGUGGCGAGCGUUGUCCGGAUUUAUUGGGCGUAAAGGGAGUGUAGGCGGUCUUUUAAGUCCGAUGUGAAAGCCCACGGCUCAACCGUGGAGGGUCAUUGGAAACUGGGAGACUUGAGUGCAGAAGAGGAGAGCGGAAUUCCAUGUGUAGCGGUGAAAUGCGUAGAUAUAUGGAGGAACACCAGUGGCGAAGGCGGCUCUCUGGUCUGUAACUGACGCUGAGGCUCGAAAGCGUGGGGAGCAAACAGGAUUAGAGACCCCAGUAGUCCCUGUCUCUUAUAC